Pelobates cultripes (western spadefoot toad) is the source of this 473-nucleotide non-coding RNA. Lineage: Eukaryota; Metazoa; Chordata; Amphibia; Anura; Pelobatidae. The record is from the annotation of a GenBank genome assembly.
AUUCACCAUUCUUAUUCUGCUACUAAAAAUAGAUUCAUGGGUAUUGAAUCAGUCCCCCAACCUCCACGUAAAGGAAAUUGGGACCAAAAACUAAGGCAGGGAGAAUCGUAUUGGAUUUACAAACUCAAUACAUUAUCAGUGUUAAGUGAGGGAUUCUCUUUUUCAGCCUUUUUGUAAUACUCUCCUCAUUAAAGGGGCUUAAACAACAUUGAGGAACUCUUCCUUUCUAAGCUCCCUACCGUACUAUUUGUAUAUUUGUAGAUAUGUAAAUACGACACUUUUUAUAUGAACAUGAACGGCCACUUUAUUUCCACUGUGCCCAUUUUGCCAUUUGAACCAAGAUACUGUCUGCCUUAUCUAAUGUAUCCUGAUUGGGGCACACUUCUCCUGAUUGGAUGUUUAUUUCCCUAUGUUUUGUAGGCAUUACUCAAUCUAUAAAGACGGGUGGCAAUUUUUUUACCGUACAACUGAUG